AUGCGUCAGCAGGCCUGGAACU
This 22-nucleotide unclassified non-coding RNA is filed under the name Mus musculus (house mouse). RNAcentral describes it as "oocyte_clustered_small_RNA1856". Lineage: Eukaryota; Metazoa; Chordata; Mammalia; Rodentia; Muridae. The record is from RNAcentral.